Molecule: ribosomal RNA, 439 nt
Filed under: uncultured bacterium
Lineage: Bacteria
Description: partial 16S ribosomal RNA
Rfam family: Bacterial small subunit ribosomal RNA
Source: RNAcentral
CCUACGGGAGGCAGCAGUGGGGAAUAUUGCACAAUGGGCGAAAGCCUGAUGCAGCAACGCCGCGUGAGCGAUGAAGGCCUUCGGGUCGUAAAGCUCUGUCAUCAAGGAAGAUAAUGACGGCACGUGAGGAGGAAGCCGCGGCCAACUACGUGCCAGCAGCCGCGGUCAUACGUAGGGGGGUAGCGUUAUCCGGAAUUAAUGGGGGAAAAGGGUGCGUAGGUGGUUUCUUAAGUCAGAGGUGAAAGGCUACGGCUCAACCGUAGUAAGCCUUUGAAACUGGGGAACGUGAGUGCAGGAGAGGAGAGUGGAAUUCCUAGUGUAGCGGUGAAAUGCGUAGAUAUUAGGAGGAACACCAGUUGCGAAGGCGGCUCUCUGGACUGUAACUGACACUGAGGCACGAAAGCGUGGGGAGCAAACAGGAUUAGAUACCCCAGUAGUC